Molecule: ribosomal RNA, 253 nt
Filed under: uncultured bacterium
Lineage: Bacteria
Description: partial 16S ribosomal RNA
Rfam family: Bacterial small subunit ribosomal RNA
Source: RNAcentral
UACGUAGGGGGCAAGCGUUGUCCGGAAUCAUUGGGCGUAAAGCGCGUGUAGGCGGACUGGAAGGUCUGGUGUGAAAGCCCGGGGCUCAACCCCGGAGGGUCACUGGAAACCGACAGUCUCGAGUCCGGAAGAGGAGAGUGGAAUUCCUGGUGUAGCGGUGGAAUGCGCAGAUAUCGGGAGGAACACCGGUGGCGAAGGCGGUUCUCUGGGCCUGUACUGACGCUGAGGAGCGAAAGCGUGGGGAGCGAACAGG